Molecule: ribosomal RNA, 429 nt
Filed under: Chloroflexota bacterium
Lineage: Bacteria; Bacillati; Chloroflexota
Description: Chloroflexi bacterium partial 16S ribosomal RNA
Rfam family: Bacterial small subunit ribosomal RNA
Source: RNAcentral
UGGGGAAUAUUGCACAAUGGGCGCAAGCCUGAUGCAGCCAUGCCGCGUGUGUGAAGAAGGCCUUCGGGUUGUAAAGCACUUUCAGCGGGGAGGAAGGCGUUAAGGUUAAUAACCUUGGCGAUUGACGUUACCCGCAGAAGAAGCACCGGCUAACUCCGUGCCAGCAGCCGCGGUAAUACGGAGGGUGCAAGCGUUAAUCGGAAUUACUGGGCGUAAAGCGCACGCAGGCGGUUUGUUAAGUCAGAUGUGAAAUCCCCGGGCUCAACCUGGGAAAUGCAUCUGAUACUGGCAAGCUUGAGUAUCGUAGAGGGGGGUAGAAUUCCAGGUGUAGCGGUGAAAUGCGUAGAGAUCUGGAGGAAUACCGGUGGCGAAGGCGGCCCCCUGGACGAAGACUGACGCUCAGGUGCGAAAGCGUGGGGAGCAAACAGG